GCUUGGAAUAAAAAAUAAUAUUGAUAGCUAAUACGACUACUAUUGAUAACUAAUAAUAUUGUAUUAUUAGCUAAAAUAUUAUUGUAUGCAUAACAAUAUGAUAUCUGUAUUGAGUUGUGUUUCUUUCUUUCUAUCAGUUAUUUUGUUAACAGGCUAUUUUGUGACACCAACAAUGUCUGCCUUGUGUAAGUGUCAGAGAAUUAUAAUACCUCAUAUGUGUUGGAAAAAAUGUGGAA
This is a long non-coding RNA of Apis florea (little honeybee), 236 nucleotides long. RefSeq lists it as uncharacterized. The record is from RefSeq and is a predicted model, not a curated record. NCBI's taxonomy places the organism in Eukaryota, Metazoa, Arthropoda, Insecta, Hymenoptera, Apidae.